This 468-nucleotide ribosomal RNA is filed under the name uncultured bacterium. RNAcentral describes it as "partial 16S ribosomal RNA". It matches the Rfam family "Bacterial small subunit ribosomal RNA", at positions 28 to 507 of the family's 1533-position model. The record is from RNAcentral.
GACGAACGCUGGCGGCGUGCUUAACACAUGCAAGUCGAACGGAAAGGCCCUGCUUUUGUGGGGUGCUCGAGUGGCGAACGGGUGAGUAACACGUGAGUAACCUGCCCUUGACUUUGGGAUAACUUCAGGAAACUGGGGCUAAUACCGGAUAGGAGCUCCUGCUGCAUGGUGGGGGUUGGAAAGUUUCGGCGGGUGGGGAUGGACUCGCGGCUUAUCAGCUUGUUGGUGGGGUAGUGGCUUACCAAGGCUUUGACGGGUGGCCGGCCUGAGAGGGUGACCGGCCACAUUGGGACUGCGAUACGGCCCAGACUCCUACGGGAGGCAGCAGUGGGGAAUAUUGCACAAUGGGCGGAAGCCUGAUGCAGCAACGCCGCGUGCGGGAUGACGGCCUUCGGGUUGUAAACCGCUUUCGCCUGUGACGAAGCGUGAGUGACGGUAAUGGGUAAAGAAGCACCGGCUAACUACGUG